Molecule: ribosomal RNA, 440 nt
Filed under: uncultured bacterium
Lineage: Bacteria
Description: partial 16S ribosomal RNA
Rfam family: Bacterial small subunit ribosomal RNA
Source: RNAcentral
CCUACGGGAGGCAGCAGUGGGGGAUAUUGCACAAUGGGGGGAACCCUGAUGCAGCGACGCCGCGUGGGUGAAGAAGCGCCUCGGCGCGUAAAGCCCUGUCAGCAGGGAAGAAAAUGACGGUACCUGAAGAAGAAGCCCCAGCUAACUACGUGCCAGCAGCCGCGGUAUUACGUAGGGGGCAAGCGUUAUCCGGAUUUACUGGGGGUAAAGGGGGCGCUGACGGCGCUGCAAGCCAGGAGUGAAAGCCCGGGGCCCAACCCCGGGACUGCACUUGGAACUGCGUGGCUGGAGUGCAGGAGGGGCAGGCGGAAUUCCUGGUGUAGCGGGGAAAGGCGUAGAUAUCAGGAGGAACACCGGUGGCGAAGGCGGCCUGCUGGACUGCAACUGACGUUGAGGCCCGAAAGCGUGGGGAGCAAACAGGAUUAGAUACCCCAGUAGUC